This 957-nucleotide long non-coding RNA is filed under the name Mustela putorius furo (domestic ferret). RNAcentral's name for it is "lncRNA (ENSMPUG00000029481.1)". The record is from RNAcentral. Lineage: Eukaryota; Metazoa; Chordata; Mammalia; Carnivora; Mustelidae.
GGAAUCUUGGGUGUUAAUUUAUCUGUUGUAUUUCUUAGUGGCUCUGAAUAAACACAGAAAAGAAUUUAGAUGCAAGUCAUGUAAAGAGGCCAGGAUGAGCUUCCAAGCAUUCAGAAUCUUACAAUGAUGGUGGUGCUAGAUCGGUAUUUGAUGGAGGGAUGAUCUGAUGCUGUGACAGACCAAGUGUGGACUAGCCUGGAUCUGCAUCUUCUUGCUGGGAGAGCCAUCUCGGUAGUCAUUCUCUCUACUGGGAAAUGGACUUAUUUAUCUACUUACUGGAAGUUUGAACCAAUUCCACAUGCCCUCUCAACCUCAGGGAGUCAUGAGGACCGCUAUUAUACAUACAGGCUUUCAGGGACGAUGUCUCUGAUGAGACAUUUGAGCAGAGACCUGAGGAAAGAGAGAGAAUGAACCACGCCACUCUUUGGGGACUCCAACAAGCACAAAGACUCUGAGGACAGAAUGCGGCUGGUAUGUUCAAGGAAUGGCAAGAAACCAGGUGGCCGAAGCAGAAGAAGGGAAGGGGAUACAAGAGCUGAUUAGGUGAGAGGAGCAGCAAGUCCCGAGGUGGGGGACAAACACGUGAACUUUGGAGGUGUGUAGUACCUGUUUCUGUCACGUUCCUCCACACUAGGUGAGCUGAGCUCUGUCCAGGUGAUUCCAGAGCCUUUCCCACCAUAGUCUCCUCUUCCGCAGAAGGACUUGGUGAGGCUAUCAGAUAAGCACUCCUGUCAUCAGCAUGACAGGAGGAAAAUAACCACCCACGGUGAUAGCAUUUAACCAAGCUAAACAGUAUAAGAUAACCUUCAUUUCCAAAGCUGACAAGCAAAAUUACGGGGAUCAGCUGUAAGGGGGAGGGGGCAAAAAAGCUCGAGAUCAUUAUUUCCACAUCUAACAUUAGCAUCUGGAAAACACAGUAUGUCUAUAAAAUGACAGUGCCAAAGAUAACCAUCGUGU